AACGAACGCUGGCGGCAUGCCUAACACAUGCAAGUCGAACGAGACCUUCGGGUCUAGUGGCGCACGGGUGCGUAACGCGUGGGAACCUGCCCUUAGGUUCGGAAUAACUCCCCGAAAGGGGUGCUAAUACCGGUUAAUGUCUUCGGACCAAAGAUUUAUCGCCUUUGGAUGGGCCCGCGUUGUAUUAGCUAGUUGGUAGGGUAAAAGCCUACCAAGGCGACGAUCCAUAGCUGGUCUGAGAGGAUGAUCAGCCACACUGGGACUGAGACACGGCCCAGACUCCUACGGGAAGCAGCAGUGGGGAAUAUUGGACAAUGGGCGAAAGCCUGAUCCAGCAAUGCCGCGUGAGUGAUGAAGGACUUAGGGUUGUAAAGCUCUUUUACCCGGGAUGAUAAUGACAGUACCGGGAGAAUAAGCACCGGCUAACUCCGUG
RNAcentral lists this ribosomal RNA (433 nucleotides) under uncultured bacterium. Its description in RNAcentral is "partial 16S ribosomal RNA". It matches the Rfam family "Bacterial small subunit ribosomal RNA", at positions 29 to 507 of the family's 1533-position model. The record is from RNAcentral.